This 446-nucleotide ribosomal RNA is filed under the name Burkholderia cepacia. RNAcentral describes it as "bacterial SSU rRNA". It matches the Rfam family "Bacterial small subunit ribosomal RNA", at positions 1 to 447 of the family's 1533-position model. The record is from RNAcentral. RNAcentral also lists the same sequence under 1 other name. Lineage: Bacteria; Pseudomonadati; Pseudomonadota; Betaproteobacteria; Burkholderiales; Burkholderiaceae.
AAACUGAAGAGUUUGAUCCUGGCUCAGAUUGAACGCUGGCGGCAUGCCUUACACAUGCAAGUCGAACGGCAGCACGGGUGCUUGCACCUGGUGGCGAGUGGCGAACGGGUGAGUAAUACAUCGGAACAUGUCCUGUAGUGGGGGAUAGCCCGGCGAAAGCCGGAUUAAUACCGCAUACGAUCUACGGAUGAAAGCGGGGGACCUUCGGGCCUCGCGCUAUAGGGUUGGCCGAUGGCUGAUUAGCUAGUUGGUGGGGUAAAGGCCUACCAAGGCGACGAUCAGUAGCUGGUCUGAGAGGACGACCAGCCACACUGGGACUGAGACACGGCCCAGACUCCUACGGGAGGCAGCAGUGGGGAAUUUUGGACAAUGGGCGAAAGCCUGAUCCAGCAAUGCCGCGUGUGUGAAGAAGGCCUUCGGGUUGUAAAGCACUUUUGUCCGGAAAG